Molecule: ribosomal RNA, 462 nt
Filed under: uncultured bacterium
Lineage: Bacteria
Description: bacterial SSU rRNA
Rfam family: Bacterial small subunit ribosomal RNA
Source: RNAcentral
CUACGGGAGGCAGCAGUCGAGAAUUUUUCACAAUGGGCGAAAGCCUGAUGGAGCGACGCCGCGUGGGGGAUGAAUGGCUUCGGCCCGUAAACCCCUGUCAUUCGCGAUCAACCCUUAUUAUUUAAAAGAUGAUAAGCUGAUAGUAGCGGAAGAGGAAGGGACGGCUAACUCUGUGCCAGCAGCCGCGGUAAUACAGAGGUCCCAAGCGUUGUUCGGAUUCACUGGGCGUAAAGGGUGCGUAGGUGGUCAGGUAAGUCGGAUGUGAAAGCUCGGAGCUCAACUCCGAAAUGGCAUUGGAAACUACCUGGCUAGAGGAAUGGAGGGGGGACUGGAAUUCUCGGUGUAGCAGUGAAAUGCGUAGAUAUCGAGAGGAACACCAGUGGCGAAGGCGAGUCCCUGGACAUCUCCUGACACUGAGGCACGAAAGCUAGGGGAGCAAACAGGAUUAGAUACCCCGGUAGU